GAUGAACGCUGGCGGCAUGCUUUACACAUGCAAGUCGGACGGGAAGUGGUGUUUCCAGUGGCGGACGGGGGAGUAACGCGUAAGAACCUGCCCUCGGGAGGGGAACAACAGCUGGAAACGGCUGCUAAUACCCCGUAGGCUGAGGAGCGAAAGGAGGAAUCCGCCCAAGGAGGGGCGCGCGUGUGAUUAGCUAGUGGGUGAGGUAAUAGCUUACCCAGGGCGUGAUCAGUAGCUGGUCCGAGAGGAUGUGCAGCCACACAGUGACUGAGACAAGGGCCACAGACCUCCGGGGGGCGGAGCAGUGGGGUUUUCCAGAAUGUGCGAGAGCCUCACGGCGCGAUGCGGCGUGGGAGUAAUAGGGCUACGAGUCAUGAACUGCUUUUCCAGCAGAAGAAACAAUGACGGUAUCUGGAGAAUAAGCAUCGGCUAACUCUGUG
Molecule: ribosomal RNA, 437 nt
Filed under: uncultured bacterium
Lineage: Bacteria
Description: partial 16S ribosomal RNA
Rfam family: Bacterial small subunit ribosomal RNA
Source: RNAcentral